AGCGUAUAUUAAAGUUGUUGCAGUUAAAAAGCUCGUAGUUGAAUUUCGGGGUCAGUAGGUCGGUCGUGCCACUGGCAUGAACUGGUUUUACUGAUUCCUCCCUCUUGAAGAACUGUAAUGCCAUUAAUUUGGUGUUGCAGGGAAUCAGGACUGUUACUUUGAAAAAAUUAGAGUGUUUAAAGCAGGCUUUAGCUUGAAUACAUUAGCAUGGAAUAAUGAAAUAGGACGUUUGAUCCUAUUUUGUUGGUUUCUAGGAUUGACGUAAUGAUUAAUAGGGAUAGUUGGGGGCAUUAGUAUUCAAUUGUCAGAGGUGAAAUUCUUGGAUUUAUUGAAGACUAACUACUGCGAAAGCAUUUGCCAAGGAUGUUUUCAUUAAUCAAGAACGAAAGUUAGGGGAUCGAAGACGAUCAGAUACCGUCGUAGUCUUAACCAUAAACUAUGCCGACUAGGGAUCGGAUGAUGUUAAUUUUUUAAUGACUC
Molecule: ribosomal RNA, 480 nt
Filed under: uncultured Glomeromycotina
Lineage: Eukaryota; Fungi; Glomeromycota
Description: SSU rRNA
Rfam family: Eukaryotic small subunit ribosomal RNA
Source: RNAcentral